AAAUAAUCUGCAGCCCGACUUGAACGGAGCUCUUUUUUCUUGGUGGCUGAGCCUGUCGAAGCCAGCAAUAAAAAAAGCGGGAGUGGAAGGCGGAAAUGUCU
Molecule: unclassified non-coding RNA, 101 nt
Filed under: Kaistella antarctica
Lineage: Bacteria; Pseudomonadati; Bacteroidota; Flavobacteriia; Flavobacteriales; Weeksellaceae
Description: Chryseobacterium antarcticum Flavo-1 RNA
Source: RNAcentral